ACCGUCACUCGAUCACUCUACCAC
This 24-nucleotide non-coding RNA is filed under the name Arabidopsis thaliana (thale cress). Lineage: Eukaryota; Viridiplantae; Streptophyta; Magnoliopsida; Brassicales; Brassicaceae. The record is from RNAcentral.